AUAUCAGUCAUGCAUAGCAUAUCAAUAAGCGGAGGAAAAGAAACUAACAAGGAUUCCCCUAGUAACGGCGAGUGAAGCGGGAAGAGCUCAAACUUGAAAUCUUCAAGGUUCUACCUUGACGAAUUGUAGUUUAUAGAAGUGUUUUCUGUUAGUGGAGUGGCAAAAGUUCUUUGGAAUAGGACAUCAUAGAGGGUGAGAAUCCCGUAUUUGGUCAUUCCUCCUAGCGUUGUGAUACACUUUCAACGAGUCGGAUUGUUUGGGAAUGCAGUCCAAAAUGGGUGGUAAAUUUCAUCUAAAGCUAAAUAUUGGCGAGAGACCGAUAGCGAACAAGUACCGUGAGGGAAAGAUGAAAAGAACUUUGAAAAGAGAGUUAAACAGUACGUGAAAUUGUCAAAAGGGAAGCGCUUGACACCAGUGUUGUUUAGUUGAAAAUCAAUUCAAUAAUUUGUGAUUUUGAGUAGUAUUGACUUUCAUCAGCUUGCUGCUUUCUUUUCAGAAAUUAUUGAAUGCACUUUUCAGUUAACAAGUCAACAUCAAUUUCUUUUGUUGUAAAAGGGUAAGAGGAAGGUGGCUUACGCUUCGGCGUCAAGUGUUUAUAGCCUUUUACCUCUGCAAUCGGAGAGAUUGAGGACAUGCAGCGUAGACUCCUUCGGGGGUUAGAUACACUUUGUGCUAAGUUAUAGCCUCGUAUAGACAACUUGUUGACUAUAGCUCAGUCAUGUAGCUUACUCGCAUAUAGUCAUUUUACCUACGCUUAGGAUGUUGAUGUGAUACUGCGAGCA
This 782-nucleotide ribosomal RNA is filed under the name uncultured Neocallimastigales. Its description in RNAcentral is "partial large subunit ribosomal RNA". It matches the Rfam family "Eukaryotic large subunit ribosomal RNA", at positions 22 to 646 of the family's 3401-position model. The record is from RNAcentral. Lineage: Eukaryota; Fungi; Neocallimastigomycota; Neocallimastigomycetes; Neocallimastigales.